CCCUUCUGGCAAUGGACAAAGAGAUACCUUGUUGUUGGUGGUGUUCUUACAUCAGUCAGGGGCAGAGCAGAUGGCAGUCCUUUGUUUAUCCUAGCUUGAUUCCUGGCUUGGCAGCCAAAGCUGUUUUAUGUCUAAGGACUCAUAA
Non-coding RNA from Arvicanthis niloticus (Nile rat), 145 nucleotides. The record is from RefSeq and is a predicted model, not a curated record. NCBI's taxonomy places the organism in Eukaryota, Metazoa, Chordata, Mammalia, Rodentia, Muridae.